AUCUUUGAAAAGGGAACAAGUUGAAAGGUUGUAUUUCUCAGCCAAUCUGGGCUUGUGCCAGUUUUCUUCAAAUCCGAUCAACAUGGGUGGAAGAGGCAUUUAUCAAUUACUCGGCUCCCAGAAAGGAAAGGCACCAUCUUUCCAACCCGAAAUCAAUAACAUCUUCAAAGAGCAUAACGUCAAUCGGUCGAACUUGCAGGCUGCUGCCUCCGUCGGCGUGCCCUUUGGAGCUCCAGCCGCAAAUUUUGAUGUCUGUCAACUUCCAAGUUCAUCACGUGCAGCAGCUAACUUUCCUCAAAUGUCUUCUGUCACUCAAAACCUGGUCAACUUUUCAGACCUGAUAUCUGGUCCUGUUGCUGCUCCUCUCAACUAUGGCUAUGCGUUCGAGAAUAUGG
Molecule: long non-coding RNA, 395 nt
Filed under: Carica papaya (papaya)
Lineage: Eukaryota; Viridiplantae; Streptophyta; Magnoliopsida; Brassicales; Caricaceae
Description: long non-coding RNA (CPAP_LNC001372)
Source: RNAcentral